Molecule: ribosomal RNA, 301 nt
Filed under: uncultured bacterium
Lineage: Bacteria
Description: partial 16S ribosomal RNA
Rfam family: Bacterial small subunit ribosomal RNA
Source: RNAcentral
CAGCAGCCACGGUAAUACGGAGGAUCCAAGCGUUAUCCGGAUUUAUUGGGUUUAAAGGGUGCGUAGGCGGCCAAUUAAGUCAGGGGUGAAAGACGGUAGCUUAACUAUCGCAGUGCCUUUGAUACUGAUUGGCUUGAAUACACUAGAGGUAGGCGGAAUGUGACAAGUAGCGGUGAAAUGCAUAGAUAUGUCACAGAACACCAAUUGCGAAGGCAGCUUACUAUGGUGUGAUUGACGCUGAGGCACGAAAGCGUGGGGAUCAAACAGGAUUAGAUACCCCCGUAGUCCCUGUCUCUUAUAC